UCCUCUGCGGGUUCCCCGGCCCGAGCUCCGCCGCUCGGUGCUCGCUCCAGAUGGUGAAGCCCGCCCCGGGCGGUCGGGGGCCGGCCCGGACCCCGGGAAGGAGAAGGCACCGGGUGUGGCCGCUUCUGGGGGCUUGACCAAGUCAGCCGAAAGUGGCCUGAAUGUCCAGAAGUUACUCUGGAGCGGAGGGGAAGCACUCAGCCCGUCCUCUGUGCCUCCAUCAAACCAGCUUUGCACGAGGGGAAAUGCCGCAUUGGAGUGCAAAGGCGACCGAUGACCUGAGUGCGACCGGACAGGCCGGGGGGGACACUGUCAUCAGCCCUGAGACAGCACGGCCAGCGUGGGGGGACAGAGCUGGUGUCAUCCGCGGGGGCCUUGGUCCUGCACGCCUUCGGGACGCUUCUAUGGCCGUGGGUUUGUUCGGGUUUUGGAAGAGUGUGUCUUGGGGACUUGUUUGAUUUUCUGGCGUUUUUCUAAGGGGUGGGAGUGCUGAUUUGGGUUUGCUUUUGUUGAACUGAUGUUUCGAAAGCUGCAGAGCCUCCGCUAGCCCCGGGCGGGGGAGCCCCGGAGAGCGGCGCUGGCUGGAGCCGACACUGGGUGGCAGGAGGCUCCCGCAAACGGCUUCUGUCCGGCUCGUUCGUCCCUUCCCAGCUCUCCAGCACAGGCUGCUCUGUGCACCCCUUGGGCUUUUCCAGAACCCCCUCGUGCCCGCCUGGCCACCCCUGCACAGUGUGCCCUGGCCCCCCAAGUCACACUUAGCCUCCCACCCCACUGACGCCCGGGCACCCUGCGGCCCCACCGGCACAGCCAGGGCUGGGUGUGCGAUGUGCUCGCGGGCGUGCAAGACAGCUGGGGGACUGCAGGUGUGCUCCGAGGACUGCAUGCACAUCCCAGGGUCACUCGGACCAGUGCUCGGGCCUGGUUUAGCCGGUGAGCAGAGGGAGCACAUCCCUCCCGCUGUUUGUAUAAACUGGGGGAUGUCUGCCCAUGGGAGAUUAACAGCUCAAAGAACUCUCAGAGUACAGGGACCUUCCGUGUGAGAAUGUCCCUGAAGUGCAGCCUCCCACCAACCUCCUGCUGUUGUGUGAGAGUCCUUCUGCUCUUCCUACUUCUCCACUGUGGAUGUACAAUCCUUGACCCAAACAGCGAGGAGCACCUAGAGGGACCGGAAGGGGCUUUGGUCGAGGUGUCAAAUGCAGCCCAAGGGUGGGAAGGGAGUAGUUUGGGCUCUAGUGAUGUGAACCUACCAGGAGCUGCCUACACAUCCACAUCCUGAAUUUUUAUUUUUUUUUAAAACAAAUUCAGUGGGUGAGAGCUGCCCAUGGCUGUACUGCCCAAUAGUUACCCAGUGUCAGCAGCAAAUCUCAUGUUCCCUUUUGCAGAGAGGGCACUUGCAGUCACCUUUGACCCGUACUCCCUGCGAACAGGCGCUCUCUGAUACUUCCACAAAAUCUGAUUUUUUUGCUUUAACUGACUCUGUGUUUUCUAGGAAAGAGGAGCAAGCAGCCUGUGACCUGUGACCAGCCACUCUGGGAUGUUUGACAAUGUGCCACACUCUGCUUUAGGGCUCCCAGUAGGAGAAGAUGGGUGCUGUGGUCAUGCAGCAAGUGGCUGCUACACAUCUCUAGGGUCAGCAGGUUACCUCUGCACCACUGCCUUUCCAUAGCAUUGUGGACAUCCGGUGCUGGUGCCUGGAGGACCAUUUGUCAGCACAAUACAAACAUGCUUUAUGCUCUUGCCAGAUCAAGAGGAACAAAUAAAUUUUCAACGGGACAACUAAAUAGGAAAGGACUCGGGGCUGCUCUGCCAGGAUAGCCUGCAGUAGUAAAGCACAUGAGAAGAGUCCCUCAGGGCAGAGGGCAGAGCGGAGUGCCCAGGCCCUGCUUGAAAGCCUCAGAUGACUGAGGAAGGGCGACAUUCUAUUAGUAAACCACUAAUGACCACCUCUUUGGCAUUUCCUGAAAACUACCGUAGGUUGGCUGGUUCCUGGAGGAGCACUGUGAUGUCAGCAGCCAGAAAUCCUGUGGAACCGGCCGGACUGGCAAAUGCAUGAAAGUCAGCUAAUCUGCUGCUUUAUCACUCCUCCUCAGCCCCCAAAUCCCCAUCCACUUCAGGCAUCGGAGGGAAGCUAAUUGACUUGAGCUUCCUUUUUGUGCUCAAACACCUUGGCUGCCUUGGUUAUUUUCUCUCAUUUUUGCUUCAUACAAACAGAUCAGCUUCAAAGGCAGUGCUGGCCCCGGUGUUAUGUGAUACAUAUCUACCAAAUAACUGGGGAGAGGCCUUGUUUCACCAGGUGCUCUCUGCCUCUGAGUGAUCUGGUCACAGUUUUGCUGCCUCUCCCCACUGACUGGGGUGAGAGUUACUGCUGGGAAAGGACAUCAGUUGUUGCUCAUCUUCCCUCUUUUCCUUUAUCGCCCAAAGCAGAGGAAAGUGGAGACUUUUGGCCAGCAAGGGCCAAUGUGGGGUGCCCUUCCAGGGAAUGGGACCUCAGCAGGGACAUGGCACCAUUCCUCAGCGUGGCUUUUGUAGUGAGAAGGGCAGGUGUUCAUGGAGAUGGCUUCCUGGAUGGGGGCUGACCCAGAGGCUGAGGCUCCCAUCUUCACCUUACCUGACCCAGCACCUCUGGAGCACAGCAAAGCACCGACAGGAACCACGUGCAGAAACCCCUGGGGGAAUCCAGGGAAAGAAGUGUUGCUGCAGAUUUGUGACCCAUCUUGCCUCAGGAGCUUGCAGAGGAGGAAGAGCACUUUGCAGGGUUUUCUGUCCUUGGUGGCUGCAUGUGGGACAGAGGGGACAUUUGAGGAUGCUGCCUCACCCUGCCAGGCUGCUCCCCCUUGUCAGAUGCACAGGGGCAGGCAGCAUGGGCACACAGCAGUGACAGAGCUGAGACACCACUUGCACCUUGCUCCACUCUCAGGACCCUCUGGCCCAGUUGCCUCCAUCAGAUCAUCGCUGCCUUGCUACACACGUGGACCAGCUUAGCUGGAGGCUGAGGUGAAGAGAACAUCUUCUUGAGAACAACAGAAACCAGGCACCAAAAAAUAUUGAAGAUGUGGUAGGAAAGGCCCUGGUAGAAUGUUGGGGCAGCCCACCUCACCAGGAAAGCAGGUGGUGGUGAAGGACAGAGGUAUGUGCUGGGACAGCCCUGCAGCAGCCGGUGCAGGGUGGGGAGAGCUGGCCAAGGAGGGGAGAACCCCCCUGGUGAGCCAAGAAAGAGCCAACCACCCUGAACUGGGAGCUGAACCUCCAAAGACCAACUGGACCUGCCCUCAUCACCUCCGCCACAGCUGUCAGGAGCACCCCUGAGACAAGACAUCACUUUUGUCACAAAAGCAAGUAAACCCCAUCAAAUAUUC
Molecule: long non-coding RNA, 3356 nt
Organism: Haemorhous mexicanus (house finch)
Lineage: Eukaryota; Metazoa; Chordata; Aves; Passeriformes; Fringillidae
Exons: 5
Source: RefSeq, a predicted model, not a curated record